CCCCCAUCCGCAGGUCUAACUUUGGCCCCGGACUCUGCCCCUCGACCCCAGCACAGAAUCGCCCUGGGUCCUACUACAGAAUCAAUCUUUGAACACUGCCUCCACGUCGCCGGCUCAAUCUGGGCCAGAACCCAGACUUCCACCGCAGCCCCGCAAUCUGCAGACCUCAGUGGCAGCGCAGGUGGCAGACCUUCCUCCUUUGCCUGUGAGUCAUGGCAGCUCCCAUGAAUGGCCAAGUGUGUGUGGUGACUGGUGCCUCCAGGGGUAUUGGCCGUGGCAUUGCCUUGCAGCUCUGCAAAGCAGGUGCCACAGUUUACAUCACUGGCCGCCAUCUGGACACCCUUCGCGUUGUUGCUCAGGAGGUGAGUGCUUCCUCUGGGACCACAGUUGCAGAAACCACCCGAGAGAGCCCUUCCACUUAACAGCUCCCUUUCCUAAUCCCUUACCUGAAACUAUAAUACUACUCAAGAAGAUGUGACUAUUUAUUCAAAGUGGAAAUUAAAAACCCCGUAAAUAACUUCAGGUAAGGUAGAAUUUUGCCGCCAAGUGAGUUUUAUGAAAAAACUUUGUGUUUGAGCCAGGCAUGGUGGCAUGUGCCUAUAGUCCCAG
RNAcentral lists this small RNA (609 nucleotides) under Pongo abelii (Sumatran orangutan). RNAcentral's name for it is "retained intron". The record is from RNAcentral. Lineage: Eukaryota; Metazoa; Chordata; Mammalia; Primates; Hominidae.